This 555-nucleotide small RNA is filed under the name Pan troglodytes (chimpanzee). Its description in RNAcentral is "retained intron". The record is from RNAcentral. Lineage: Eukaryota; Metazoa; Chordata; Mammalia; Primates; Hominidae.
GGGUGUGCAUUUGUGCACGUGUGUGUGAGUGGCCCAAAUGGGCACGCACUGUGUCCAGCACACAUUGGUUCCCCCAUCCCCCUGCACCCCACCCCAUCUCCACCCCCCAGGACUUCAUACCCAUUACCCAUGUGCCUGUUCGCUCCUUACACACUUAGCCUGAGACACCCUCCCAGGGCACCCCUCAUGUUUUGUCACCUCCUGUCCCUUUUUUCUCCCUUCAGCCAUGGGGUCUCCACUAAAUAUCUCAACUUCACGGCCUCAGAGAAUACCAGUCGGGUCAUGCAGCAUCAAUAUCAGGUCAGCAACCUGGGGCAGAGGAGCCUCCCCAUCAGCCUGGUGUUCUUGGUGCCCGUCCGGCUGAACCAGACUGUCAUAUGGGACCGCCCCCAGGUCACCUUCUCCGAGGUGAGCGGAGCUCAGCCUGACUCCUGCACGGCCCUGCGCCUUCCUCUCACCUCUGUUAAUGCUAUUGGGUUUUAGAGCCGCUCCGCCCCUCUCCUGGACCCAGGCCAUCUCACCUCCCGAGAUGAGGCCCUGGCGCCUUCAUCUCUG